CCUACGGGUGACAGCAGUGAGGAAUAUUGGUCAAUGGACGGAAGCCUGAACCAGCCAUGCCGCGUGCAGGAAGACGGCUCUAUGAGUUGUAAACUUCUUUUGUACAAGGGUAAACCUGAAUACGUGUAUUCAGCUGAAAGUACUGUACGAAUAAGGAUCGGCUAACUCCGUGCCAGCAGCCGCGGUAAUACGGAGGAUCCAAGCGUUAUCCGGAUUUAUUGGGUUUAAAGGGUGCGUAGGCGGAUUGUUAAGUUAGAGGUGAAAUGUCCGGGCUUAACUCGGGAACUGCCUCUAAUACUGUUGAUCUAGAGAGUAGAUGAGGUAGGCGGAAUGUAUGGUGUAGCGGUGAAAUGCUUAGAGAUCAUACAGAACACCGAUUGCGAAGGCAGCUUACCAAUCUAUAUCUGACGUUGAGGCACGAAAGCGUGGGGAGCAAACAGGAUUAGAUACCCCAGUAGUC
RNAcentral lists this ribosomal RNA (460 nucleotides) under uncultured bacterium. RNAcentral describes it as "partial 16S ribosomal RNA". It matches the Rfam family "Bacterial small subunit ribosomal RNA", at positions 338 to 795 of the family's 1533-position model. The record is from RNAcentral.